Long non-coding RNA from Fundulus heteroclitus (mummichog), 4140 nucleotides. RefSeq lists it as uncharacterized. The record is from RefSeq and is a predicted model, not a curated record. The transcript is spliced from 3 exons. Lineage: Eukaryota; Metazoa; Chordata; Actinopteri; Cyprinodontiformes; Fundulidae.
ACACACCCUCCAUCACACACUUUCGCCCACCGUCAUUCUUCUCUGCCACAAGUAGUUCUGUGAAAAAUGCUCCGCUGAUUGGCAGCAGAAAAAAAAAAAAAAAAAAAAAAAAGAAACCGUGUGGUGCAGAGAGCUGGGAGACAUCGUUGGAUCGCAAUGGUUUGAGCUUGGGGAAGGAAGAUAGGAGGACAGGAGUAGAAAGUUCAGCCGUUGCACCUUUGAGGGACCGCGUCAAGUGUUUCUUGUGAGGAAAGUGGAUGGAAGAUUGGAACAGAGGGGGGAAGCUUUCACGCGGCGGCGGCGAGGACGUGAGGGUUUUUCAGAGAUGGACUUGCUGUUAUGGUUCACAUCAUUUUUCUGCUCCAUAACCCAUUAUAUAUUAAUUCUUCCAUAGGAUUGUCUGGUGGACAGCAGAAUUCAUGGUUCCGUCUAUUACAGUAAGUAACCUGAUACUGAAGUGCCACAUUACCAUCAACAGGUUUGACUUUAGGAAUUAUCGCCUUUUUUGUAAGCUUGUAUGAGUCUUAUGCCAACUGUAAUGGAUUGCAUACCUACCAAAAAGUUUCCCUUUUCUCUUUUUAGCCCACAGAGCAUUAGUCCAAAAAGCCUUUGUGAUCAUGAAGAUAUGUUGUGGCUAGACCUUUUUGGUCAACAUUGGUUUUCUCCUUGCAACUCCCGAUAGAUACCAUUUGUUUUUUUCUCAGUUUAAUCAUUGAAUCAUGAAAACUGCCAUCAACUACAGUGAGUAAGGUCAGCAGUACUUUAGAUCUUUGGAUUUCUCAUCUUCCAGGAUGAAUUGUUUAUUUGGUGUUGGAGUAGAGGCUGACAUUUUGUUGGGAUUGCCGUGGGAUACGAGUUAACUUUAAUAAUACUCCUGAUUCGAACAGUACGAGAUAAAAAGUUAGAGGGAGCAGACGGGAGCAAGAACCAGUAUUGAUUUAUCUAAUUGAUGUAUAAUUAAAAGUAUUUAUCAACAGAUUUGAUCGAACGUAACAAUAAAUGCGACCUGUUGGUUUAUUUUCUUGUAAUCUCCCUUGGCUCUCUUCGACCCUCUCCGCCCCUCCCCUCACCGUUGACCAAAGUAAGCACACUUAGCUGUUUUGCUGGCCGGAGCUGGAGUCACAUUGCGUCUGUCUGUGAAAAUGGAUGAGAUAAACCACAAAAACACAAGGAGGGAGCAGAGAAGCUGAGAGUCUCCAGGAGGACACAGCAAAUUGUACCAAAAUUACAGAUAGGUUUGGUGCAACAAGUGCAACUGCAGCAGCGGGAGCACGACUGUCAACAUCAGAUGCUGAAGCUGUCCUAUUGAGUGAGCAGGCUGUCGGGAUGAUAAACAGCAGUAACAGAAGAAAGAGGAUUCAGAGGAGGAAAGAGAGAGAGACGUGACCCAGUGGGGACAGAUUGAGAAGGAGGUUAGAAUAGCUCCUAACAGCAAGAAGUAGCCGAAUACUUUACAACUAGCAGAUUGAACUAUGAAUACCCUGUUCGUCUCACAAGGAUUUCUUUUCUCUGUUACAGCAGCAUUGGUAAGUGAUAGAGAUUAAGUACUGGCAUGCAGUGAUAGAGAAUGUAUUUCCAUGAAAUAUUCCUGCUAUAAGAAGACGAUAUGGGUCAGAAUUAUGUCCAACAUAAUGCAACAGACAGAUGUUUCACGUGUGUGGGUUAUACCUACUAACUGUACAUAGCUUUAGAUGUAAUACUUAAAAUUAGAUGAUCAGACGGACAAAAAUAUAAGGUCAUGUGCAAAUUAUGGUAUUUAUAGACAAACAAAAAAAGUAAAAAGAGCAUGAUUACAAAAUAAAUUCAAGCAGAAGACAUUCUUAAAAAACAAGCAGAGACAAAAUUUGGAAUGUCGCCAUAAUAUUUUAGGUUUUUUACAUUUUUACAUAGUGGCAGGUUGAUUUGCAGGAUCCUUUGCCUUCAGUUAUUUGAAUAAGCAUUUAAAAGCUUAUCCUUUAUUGUCUUUGUACGUUUGAUAGUGAAUUUCCUGUAAUGGUAUGAAAAACCUACGUGUCAAAAAACACAAAAACUCUGGAAAUUUGAAAUGGGUUGAAUAUGGAAUAGUUUGCUCUGUAGCCCCUAAAUGGGGAUUUACAACAUGUUCCUUCCCUUCUUAAAACUGAGACAUGAGCGCAAUGUAAAAAAGCAUUUGAAGAGCUAUAAAAAGUCACAAUUUCAAAGCCUUAAGGGCAAUGCUUAAGAUUUUAGAAUUUUUGAUUUAUAGUAUCAAGACUUUUUAUAUUUAUGAAAACAUCAAAGCAAACUUAGGACUGUGUGUUAAGAAGAACUUAUAAAGAGAUUCAGAAUAAAUAACCUGCUUAUGGAAACAAAAUCCACAAUUUAGGACAUUUUAUGAGCUUUAAACCGACCUCAAAGAUGCCAGAGUUGCCGUCUGAGAAUGUACCGUACACUGUUAAUUUACCCAGAACCUAGAGAAAAAAACAGAAGGCUGCACUGUUUAAAGUUUAAAGGAUGGAGCAAGACUGAUAGCUGUUGUACAGAAAGUUUAGAGAUAAUUCUUAUUUCUGCUGUGACCCUGUUUUAUAGACAGAGGAGGCCAAAGAACAUUUUCUUCAGUAAUGCAGUGCCUGUGUUUGUAAAAAAAUAAAUAUGUGUGAUGGCAGAGAGGGGCUGUGGUUAUUGCUUUCUUGCCCCACAGCAAGAAGUUCAUUAGUCUGAGUUCCAGCUAGGCUUCCUUCCUUCUGCAUGUUUGUGAUGUGCAUUCUCUUUGGGUGCUUUGCUUUAUCUCUACAAUCCAAAAGCAAGAAUGUCAGCUACAAAAAGAAUAAUCUAAAUUGCCUUUAGUAUGAUUAUGUGAAGGAGGGGAUCCUACAAUUACACAUUGUCCAUUAUAACAUUAGUCACCAUGGACACUGAACACAGACUGCUGAACGGACAUUAUUGCCGACCACUGACAUCUUAGGCAGCUCCCGCCACUGCGUGGCUUUUCCCCUACGAAGAGCUGUUUGAUCUCCUACAUCAAAAGCAGUAGUUCUCAAACCACUUAUGACAAGUACCACCUUAAGAAAAUAUUAAGUACCACAGCAAUAACCGCAGUAUUAAAACAGCAGUGCAACAGGACUUGAGUUCUUUCCUCAAUUUGUUAGAGUUUGUCCUAGAAAUAAAAAAAUCAAAGAAUUUAGAAAAAAACAAUUAAGUUGCCAGUGAAACCAGUGAUGCUUUUGAUGUACAACAUAUUCAAUACAUAAAAAGAAUCAUAGCAGCUAUCUAUUGGUCAGAAUUAUGUCCACUUAGAUUUAGCUAUUCAGUAUUUUGCAUGUUAUAUACCAACAUUUGUAUCUGCUGUAUGUGCUAUUGAUACUCUCUAUCUAGUAUCUGCUUGAUAUUAAAAACACAGAUUAUUUAUUUAUGUAAUUGUGAAUGCAUUCAGCGAGUAAGGAUUAAAUUAUGUGUACCAUCUGUAGACAGGAACUGAAAUUUACAUAGCCAGAAUUGCAAAAAAACAGCAGCAAGUUGUCAUUCCAAGUGAUAAAGUUUUAGUUUCUCACAAACCAAGAUAAAAAAAAAACUCUACAUGUAGUUAUAAUUACCAAAAUGAACUUCAUAUUUGCACUUUUGUCAGUUUUUAUACAUCAGCUGUAGCACUGUAUAGCCCAUUUCAAAAUGCUGAUACAUAACUUGUUAAAGGCCUGAGGAAAUUCUAAAGGUUUUCCAUCUUUGAACUGGAACAGGGCUAAACAGAGUAAAAUUGUGUUGCAAGAUCUACCUUAGGACCAAAUGCGAAUAAUACUUAGUGUAUGUACUUCACCAUGACUUGUUCCUGAGUUAUCAACUUGAGUUUCUUCUGUCUCUUCUAUCAAAAUAUACUGAAUUUGAAUUGAUGAUUGAUGUCCUUUUAAAAUGUGCACUUCUGAGCUUAUUCUUCUAUCGCAUGGUUUAAACCACAAGGAUGAUGUUGCUUCAGCAUGUAAACACCUGGAAAAAAAUUCAGUUGAGUGUCAGUUGGGUAGUCCAAAUUUUACCAAUGUCAUUUCUAAACAAAAGCACUUCAUCAAUAUAAGGAAAACACUAAUUUGUUUAAUUUAAUGUUUUUAUUUAUUACAGUUACUUCACUUAUUGGUAUGUAAAAUGUGUUGGUAAUUGCAAUAUCAGAUUAAUCCAAAAAGCAUAAAAAUAACU